UACAGGGGGGGCAAGCGUUGUUCGGAAUUACUGGGCGUAAAGGGCUUGUAGGCGGCCAACUAAGUCACACGUGAAAUCCCCAGGCUUAACCUGGGAACUGCGUGUGAUACUGGAUGGCUUGAAUUCGGGAGAGGGAUGCAGAAUUCCAGGUGUAGCGGUGAAAUGCGUAGAUAUCUGGAGGAAUACCGGUGGCGAAGGCGGCAUCCUGGACCGACAUUGACGCUGAGGAGCGAAAGCUAGGGGAGCAAACGGG
Molecule: ribosomal RNA, 253 nt
Filed under: uncultured bacterium
Lineage: Bacteria
Description: partial 16S ribosomal RNA
Rfam family: Bacterial small subunit ribosomal RNA
Source: RNAcentral